This is a long non-coding RNA of Xiphophorus maculatus (southern platyfish), 1445 nucleotides long. RefSeq lists it as uncharacterized. The transcript has 2 exons. Lineage: Eukaryota; Metazoa; Chordata; Actinopteri; Cyprinodontiformes; Poeciliidae. The record is from RefSeq and is a predicted model, not a curated record.
CAGCGAGACGGACACAAAGACGCACGGGGAGAGAGAAGGAGAAAGCAAAGUAAAACGAGGAGGGGAGAAAGGAAGGGGGAGGGGCGAGGAAAGUGGAAAAAAGUGGGUGAAAAAGAAGAAAGAAAGAGAGGAAGAAACAAAGAAGCUAGACAGGACAAAAACACUGAACACAAGAUGCAAAGUGCCUUCUGAAAGUAUGCAUACCUCUUUUUCCAUUUAAAAUGUAAAUGUUUUUUAUUUGUAUUUUAUGUGAUAAAGUAAGACAAGGUAGUGCACAACAUUGAAGUGAAAGGAAAGUGAUGUAAUGUUUUUAAAACUGUCUAAAAAUAAUCUAAAGAACUGUGUUACAGUCAACCCUCAGGCAAUUUUCUGUCUCAUUUGAAUGCAAUUACAGUGGCAAGUGUUUUUUAAGGUGACUGAACAGUGUGACCGUCCUCUGCAAAAUAGGCGGGACUGGAUGGGAAGGGUCUACGAACAAUAUUCAAGUCCUGCCUCAUAUUCUCACUGGAAACGACUCCACUUCAACACAGACACAUCUAUCACCGCCAAGGGCAACAGAGAGAGAGGCAAACGUGCAUUAGGAGCUCUAAAAGAAGAAUGACUCCUGGCUGAUUCGAACUGGAGAACAUCGGGACUGCUUCAACGUGAAAACCAAGCAGAGGCCUUAAAUACUUUCCAUACUUUUGUCCAUUUAGGAAAACAUGCACUACAAAGUAAUCAUUUUGACGUGAAGCAUGGACCUUUAACAGCCUCAAAAAUGAGGGAGGAGAAUCAUGUAAAAGCGUAAAACACUUCGAAUUGACUGAAAGUUUAGCACAACAUCUGAUACCUUAAAGAAAAAUAAUUAAUUCAAUCCAGAACUUCACUGAAUCAUCCAUGACUUUGUAGUUAGUGGUGUGUUUUAAAUUAGCAAACAAAAUCACUUCUCCAUUACUUUUAAACAGUUUAAAAUGUAUUCUGUUUGGACGUUUUACGUGUCUUACAUUAGCUCAGUGGAUUGAAGGUUUAUUACAACAAUGACCCUCAGCAAACCAGAAAUAGGCCGUAACAAUCCAGAUAACUAUCUGACACAGAUAUAAAUACGAGUCACAGUGGACAGCAUCUCUACAGCCUGCGCUUGGUAGAUAAAGGAAACUAUCAGGGAUAAACAAAAACAGAUGGAGCGGACUGUUAAUGAGGAAAGCAAACAAAAUUAAAAGGUAAAGAAGCAGAAACUUGCAACUUCUCUAUUUUGAGCCUAGAAUUAAUAGCAUGAAAUAAUCAGAAAAAGAACCAAAAAAAAAAGCAACAACAAAGCAGUAGUGUCCAUUUUUAUUUUUUGUGGCGUUAAAUUUAAGAUUAAAAAAAUACAGAGCUUCUUAUUUGUUCCUUGUCAACGUUUUCUAUUUUGUUUUCCAUUUUGAGUUUUUUGCACACUACCUAGAAACUAACCAGUCCAAAUUGUA